This 68-nucleotide transfer RNA is filed under the name Drosophila fraburu. RNAcentral's name for it is "tRNA-Ser". The record is from RNAcentral. Lineage: Eukaryota; Metazoa; Arthropoda; Insecta; Diptera; Drosophilidae.
GAAGUAUGGGGAUCAAGUAAAAGCCGCUAACUUUUUUCUUUUAAUGGUUAAACUCCAUUUAUACUUCU